UCCCAGCUUUCCCAGACCAUACAGUGAAACUAAGAUGGGCCGCUGAGGGGCCCUUUCCAUUGUGCCUGAGGCAGAAAGAACAACCAAACCUAACCUCACGGCCAACAAAACCAAUGUCAUAGAGAAUGAUACUUUGGCCUUCACCUGUGGCACAGAACAGACGGGAGUGGACAUUCUGUGGUUCUUGGAUAAAAAGCCCCUGAUUCUCAAUGAGAAGAUGAAACUGUCCAUGAAUAACCAGACCCUCACCAUCCUGUCUGUGAAGAGGGAGAACACUGGGUCCUAUCAGUGUGAAAUCCAGAAUCCAAUCAGUUUCAGCAGAAGUGACCCUUUAUCCUGCGUGUGAACUAUGGACCAGACAGCAUCAUGUUUGUACCAAACCCAAAAAAGGAGAGAUUGAGGUCAAAUUCAACAACCCACUGAUGUUAGAGUGCUGUGUUGAGUCUUACCCACCUGCCCAGUAUAUAUGGCAACUCAAUGGCACCAAGAUCCCUGACAUCUCUAAUAAUACCUAUGUCAUCAAAAAUGUAAAUUUGAAAAAUUCAGGAAAGUAUACAUGUUUGGCAAAGAACAAGGUAACCAACUUGUCGGUCUCUAAGAG
This 601-nucleotide long non-coding RNA is filed under the name Sarcophilus harrisii (Tasmanian devil). Its description in RNAcentral is "lncRNA (ENSSHAG00000000224.2)". The record is from RNAcentral. Lineage: Eukaryota; Metazoa; Chordata; Mammalia; Dasyuromorphia; Dasyuridae.